GAUGAACGCUGGCGGUAUGCUUAACACAUGCAAGUCGAACGGAAUACUUUCGAGUAUUUAGUGGCGGACGGGUGAGUAACGCGUGAGAACAUGCCUAUCGAUUGGGGACAACAGAUGGAAACGUCUGCUAAUACCGAAUGUGCCUUAGGGUAAAAGACUUAUCGUCGAUAGAUUGGCUCGCGUCAGAUUAGCUAGUUGGUAGGGUAACGGCUUACCAAGGCGACGAUCUGUACUUGGUCUGAGAGGAUGACCAGGCACACUGGAACUGAGACACGGUCCAGACUCCUACGGGAGGCAGCAGUGGGGAAUUUUUCCGCAAUGGGCGCAAGCCUGACGGAGCAAUACCGCGUGAGGGAGGACGGCUUUUGGGUUGUAAACCUCUUUUAUCAGGGAAGAAUUGAUGACGGUACCUGAUGAAUCAGCAUCGGCUAACUCCGUCCCAGCCGCCGCGGUAAU
RNAcentral lists this ribosomal RNA (456 nucleotides) under uncultured cyanobacterium. RNAcentral's name for it is "bacterial SSU rRNA". It matches the Rfam family "Bacterial small subunit ribosomal RNA", at positions 28 to 524 of the family's 1533-position model. The record is from RNAcentral. Lineage: Bacteria; Bacillati; Cyanobacteriota.